UGCCCACUCUGGACCAAAUUCUUCUGCAAGACGCUUCAAGUUAUUAGCAGCAGCAUCUCUAAUUGAAUAAACCUUGUCCUGUAACCAUUGCAUGCAAAGAGCACCCAGCUUAUCAUCAAAAAAUCCUAUGCCCAAUUGACUUGCCAAUAGAGGUAUGUAUUCUAUUAUUGCAAGACGGACUCGCCAAUGCCUGUCCUCUGCCAGCUCAACAAUAGCUGGCAACAGAGAUUGGGACAAUAAAUCAAUUCCAAUCACCUGAUUGACUUGAUCAAGCUUG
This 277-nucleotide unclassified non-coding RNA is filed under the name Hevea brasiliensis (rubber tree). The record is from RNAcentral. Lineage: Eukaryota; Viridiplantae; Streptophyta; Magnoliopsida; Malpighiales; Euphorbiaceae.